RNAcentral lists this long non-coding RNA (619 nucleotides) under Cucumis sativus (cucumber). RNAcentral's name for it is "long non-coding RNA (CSAT_LNC000799)". Lineage: Eukaryota; Viridiplantae; Streptophyta; Magnoliopsida; Cucurbitales; Cucurbitaceae. The record is from RNAcentral.
CCAAAACCAUUAUCCUUUUUGGCUCUCCAUUAUUAUUCAUUCUUUUAGCUCUUGGGAAACUAUGUUCAAGCUUAGGAGCUUUGGCAUAGCUCUUAUCAUGAUUCUAAUGGCAAUCCCAAACUUUGCUAUUUUUGCCAAUAGCAGAAUGCUCCGAUCAGAGGCCGAGCGUGGCAGUGUUAAGGAACAUGAUGUAGAUCAAGAAAAGCCAAAGAGACUAACACCACAGCCGAAAGAUUCGAGCAGUAGUGGCGACCGAGUUUUUACAUUGGCUUCGGGACCAAGCAGGAAGGGCGGCGGCCAUUAGUCAGAAAUUUUCUAUACCAUGUUGAUUUUGAUGGAGAAUUUGUUGCUUGAAUUUAUUUUUUUCUUAUUGGGAUUGUGUACAUGACUUAGAAAAAUUGUUUUCCUCUUUGUUUUCAUUCUAUUUUGUUAUUUUCAUAGGUUUCUCUUUGUUUGUUAAUCAUGAGAGACGUGCUUAACGGUUGGCCUUAAGUGAUAAUCUUAAUGAUCGGAUUAUUAGGUUUUGCUCAAUAAUCAAAAGUUUUGAAUUCUAUGAGUAUAAUAAAAUAUAUAAACAUUGAACCAAGAAUAAAAUAUUCAAACCCUUUCAAAACAUAUA